Equus caballus (horse) is the source of this 2470-nucleotide long non-coding RNA. Lineage: Eukaryota; Metazoa; Chordata; Mammalia; Perissodactyla; Equidae. The record is from Ensembl.
GAGAGCCCCAUUGUAAUAUCCUGUAAAAAUAACAUAGGUCAAAUGUAUUUAUCGCUGAGAAAUGAGAUCAGCCCUGUAUGAAAACAAAUCGAAGAGCUUGCAUUUCGCUGGAGAAACUCAAAACUCGUGUCUUUUGGUGCAUUUAUAUAGCAUAAAAUAAUCUGGUCCCUUUAUAUAGAAUGCAUAAUAAAAUAACUUGGCAGAAUGGUGGCAACUCUUUAUUUUGGAGCCAAUCUUAUCAAGUUUAUCAAGGAAUGAUUUAUGUACAACCCACUGCUUCCUUUCACCAUGUAAAAUUUGAUGAGCUUUGACAAUCUCUGUCACAAUCAAGAUACAGAAGUUUUCCAUCAUCCCCCUAACUUUCCUCAAGCCUUUUUCUAAUCCAUCCCUUCCUCCACUUCACCCUAGGCAACCACCAAUUUGUUCUUCUCUUGCCCCAUAUAUACGAUUUGCAUCCUCUAGAAUUUCCUGUUUUUGGACUAUGUGAUGGCUAAUUUUAUUUGUCAACUUGACUAAUCGUGAUGAGUAGUUUGGUUAAACACCAGGCUAGAUAUUGCUGAUAAGGUAUUUUUCAGAUGUGAUUAACACUUAAGUCAGUAGACUUUGAGAAAAGCAGAAGACCCUCCAUAAUAUGGGUGGGCCUCGUCUAAUCAGUUGAAGAUCUUAAGAGCAAAGACUGAGGUUUCCCGGAGAUGAAGGAAUUCUGCUUCCAAACACUAACACAGAAACAUAGAAAUUCUGCUUGAGCUUCCAGACUUUGGACUCAAGACUGCAGCAUGAACUCUCACCUGAGUCUCCAGCCUCCUGGCUUGUCCUACGGAUUUUGGACUUAUCAACCCCUACAAUCGCAUGAGCCAAUUCCUUAAAAUCUCUCUCAUUGGUUUUGUUUCUUUGGAGAACCCUGACUGAUACAGAAAUCUUCCAGUAUUUACUCUCUUAUGUUUCGUUUCCUUUCCUCAGCAUAAUGUCUUUGAGUUUCAUCCCUGCCAUUGAGUGAAUCAGUGGUUCAUGCCUUCAUUGUGUAGACACACCACCUGUCAGUGGACAUUUGGAUUCUUCCCAGUGUUCAGCAACUGUGAAUAAAGCUGCUGUGAACGUUUGUUUGUGAGUCAUUCUGUGGAUAUGUGUUUUUAUUUCUCUCGGAUAAGCACUGUAUGAUCCAGUAAGCCCACUUCUGGGUAUAUAUCCAAAGGAAAUGAAUCCAAGAUAUUGAAAAGAUAUCUGCACUUCUGUCUUUAUUGCAUCAUUAUUCACAAUAGCCAAUCUAUGGGAACAACCUAAGUGUCUGUCAACAGAUGCAUGGAUAAGGAAGACAUGACAUGUAUAUGAUGGAAUAUUAUUCAGCCGUGAGAAGGAAGGACAUUCUGCUAUUUGUGACAAUAUGGAUGGACCUCGAGGGCAUUAUGCUAAGUGAGAUAAAUCAGACAGAGGAAGACAAGUACUGUAUGACCUCACUUAUAUGUGGAAUCUCUGAAAAGCUGAACUUGUGAAAACAGAGAAUUGAAUGGUGGGUUGCAAGGUGCUGGCAGGUUGGGGCAACGGGGAGAUGUUCGUCAAAGGGUACAAACUCACAGUUAUGAGAUGAAUAAGUUCUGGGGAUCUGAUGCACAGCAUGGCGAUUCUAGCCAACAAUACCAUAUUGUAUGCUUGAAAGUUGCAAAGAGACUAGAAUUUAAAUGUUCUCACCACAAAAAAGAAUUAAUAAUCCUGUGACUUGAUGGAGACGUUAACUAAUGUUAUGGUGGUAAUCAUAUUGCAAUAUAUAAAUGUAACAAAUCAAUGCAUAGUACAUUUUAAACUUAAAAAAUACAUGGAUAUAUUUCCAUUCUAGUUGCUAAGUCAUGACUUCAAUCCAAUUGUGUCUAGCCUUUACCCUAAGUCAUCCCACAAUCCAGCUACUAAUGAGUUAAUGGCUGGCACCAGGGGUGGGCCCUAGGAUCUUGUCUGAGGCUCAUAGUCAGUGUCCAUUCUGAUUGGUCUGUGCCUCACCUAGGCCAGGUGUCCCAUGCUUUGGAUAUCAUCUGUGCAGAAAAAUGUUGACAUAAUUGCACCUUGGCUGGGGUCUGGGAAUGUGGACCCUGCCAUGAAGAUUCUUGUGCACGGGGUUUACUGACGGAAGGCAUUUAGCAGAGGAGGAGAGAUGGAAGUGGGGUAGGACAGAGGAAAGAGCUGAGCAAGGAUGUGGUCUCAGCUGGAGUCUAGCCACAGCCUAAUCCCAUGGGGAGCCCUGGAGCCUGAAUAACACCACCGAGUUGAUCUCAGUUUGGGGCAAGGGCUGGGCUUUUGCACCUUCGUGACCACCGGGUAUUGGUUGUGGGCUGAGUCUGAGGGCAUGUUCAGCUAUUGGACUGGAAAGAAAUUCUCUGGGGAAGGAGAAAGAAGCUUGAGUUGUGAGCAGACAUCACUCAUAGAAACUGGAGCAUGGGUACCAGCUGCUAAAGCAUAGAUGGAUAGGGAGGCAUCAACAGUG